RNAcentral lists this long non-coding RNA (348 nucleotides) under Equus caballus (horse). RNAcentral's name for it is "lncRNA (ENSECAG00000044413.1)". Lineage: Eukaryota; Metazoa; Chordata; Mammalia; Perissodactyla; Equidae. The record is from RNAcentral.
GUAAAACAAGACUAAAACAGACUAAAAAGAAGAGGUGUAUUACAUUAAAUUUCUUUGAGCUUGUGGCUGAUUUUAUUAGUGAGAUAUGUUUUCAGACACAAGAAAAGCAUGAAAGAAAAAAUGGCACACUCACAACUCACGUCUGAAAAAAGAGGUCUACAGUUUUCCUCAGGUCCCAUGUCACUUCUGUCCUCUAUGUCCAUUAACCUGCAAUCCCAGCCAAAAUUGAUCAGAUCAGGAAUUAAAAGAGACAUCUAUGGAAUGGAUGUAAAAGGAGCCAGCUGCCUGAGAACAGGUCUUGAAAACUCUGACUGCCAGGAAUUCUCUCUUCUGAUUGGUAAAUCACCA